Molecule: ribosomal RNA, 680 nt
Filed under: Pediococcus acidilactici
Lineage: Bacteria; Bacillati; Bacillota; Bacilli; Lactobacillales; Lactobacillaceae
Description: bacterial SSU rRNA
Rfam family: Bacterial small subunit ribosomal RNA
Source: RNAcentral
UGCAAGUCGAACGAACUUCCGUUAAUUGAUCAGGACGUGCUUGCACUGAAUGAGAUUUUAACACGAAGUGAGUGGCGGACGGGUGAGUAACACGUGGGUAACCUGCCCAGAAGCAGGGGAUAACACCUGGAAACAGAUGCUAAUACCGUAUAACAGAGAAAACCGCCUGGUUUUCUUUUAAAAGAUGGCUCUGCUAUCACUUCUGGAUGGACCCGCGGCGCAUUAGCUAGUUGGUGAGGUAACGGCUCACCAAGGCGAUGAUGCGUAGCCGACCUGAGAGGGUAAUCGGCCACAUUGGGACUGAGACACGGCCCAGACUCCUACGGGAGGCAGCAGUAGGGAAUCUUCCACAAUGGACGCAAGUCUGAUGGAGCAACGCCGCGUGAGUGAAGAAGGGUUUCGGCUCGUAAAGCUCUGUUGUUAAAGAAGAACGUGGGUGAGAGUAACUGUUCACCCAGUGACGGUAUUUAACCAGAAAGCCACGGCUAACUACGUGCCAGCAGCCGCGGUAAUACGUAGGUGGCAAGCGUUAUCCGGAUUUAUUGGGCGUAAAGCGAGCGCAGGCGGUCUUUUAAGUCUAAUGUGAAAGCCUUCGGCUCAACCGAAGAAGUGCAUUGGAAACUGGGAGACUUGAGUGCAGAAGAGGACAGUGGAACUCCAUGUGUAGCGGUGAAAUGCGU